Molecule: ribosomal RNA, 397 nt
Filed under: uncultured bacterium
Lineage: Bacteria
Description: partial 16S ribosomal RNA
Rfam family: Bacterial small subunit ribosomal RNA
Source: RNAcentral
AUGCGUAGGGGGCGAGCGUUGUCCGGAAUGAUUGGGCGUAAAGGGCGCGUAGGCGGCCCGGUAAGUCUGGAGUGAAAGUCCUGUUUUUAAGAUGGGAAUUGCUUUGGAUACUGCCGCGCUUGAGUGCAGGAGAGGUUAUCGGAAUUCCCGGUGUAGCGGUGAAAUGCGUAGAGAUCGGGAGGAACACCAGUGGCGAAGGCGGGUAACUGGACUGCAACUGACGCUGAGGCGCGAAAGUGUGGGGAGCAAACAGGAUUAGAUACCCUGGUAGUCCACACUGUAAACGAUGAAUGCUAGGUGUAAGAGGUAUCGACCCCUUUUGUGCCGGAGUCAACACAAUAAGCAUUCCGCCUGGGGAGUACGGCCGCAAGGUUGAAACUCAAAGGAAUUGACGGGG